GAUGAACGCUGGCGGCGUGCCUAAUACAUGCCAGUCGAGCGAACAGAUAAGGAGCUUGCUCCUUUGACGUUAGCGGCGGACGGGUGAGUAACACGUGGAUAACCUACCUAUAAGACUGGGAUAACUUCGGGAAACCGGAGCUAAUACCGGAUAACAUAUUGAACCGCAUGGUUCAAUAGUGAAAGGCGGCUUUGCUGUCACUUAUAGAUGGAUCCGCGCCGUAUUAGCUAGUUGGUAAGGUAACGGCUUACCAAGGCAACGAUACGUAGCCGACCUGAGAGGGUGAUCGGCCACACUGGAACUGAGACACGGUCCAGACUCCUACGGGAGGCAGCAGUAGGGAAUCUUCCGCAAUGGGCGAAAGCCUGACGGAGCAACGCCGCGUGAGUGAUGAAGGGCUUCGGAUCGUAAAACUCUGUUAUCAGGGAAGAACAAAUGUGUAAGUAACUGUGCACAUCUUGACGGUACCUGAUCAGAAAGCCACGGCUAACUACGUGC
This 498-nucleotide ribosomal RNA is filed under the name uncultured bacterium. Its description in RNAcentral is "partial 16S ribosomal RNA". It matches the Rfam family "Bacterial small subunit ribosomal RNA", at positions 28 to 508 of the family's 1533-position model. The record is from RNAcentral.